AUGCCUUGCGCGCCGCGGGCCCAGAGACGUGAGGCUGUCGGCGUCCUGGUGGCCCCGCCUCGUGUCCCCCCCCGGACCCCACGCCGCGGGAGCUUGGGGGUUGCGGUCUUCUCUUCCUCCGACCUCACCUUCGAUGCGGAAGCGCAGGGGCAGGUGCGCCGCCCUCGGCCCGCGCAGGCGGUGGGCCCGUCUGGGGCAAGGCGCCCGGAAGCGCCUGGUUGGUUCAGAAAAUCGGACCGCAGCGGGAGGGCGGGCACCGGCGCGUGGUCUCAGUGGCCCCAGGCGAACCCUGAUGAGCAGCAGCCGCAAGUGGCUUACUAAAGGAGCCACUUUCUACGUUUGUCUGGAAUUUACGUGAAUUAAGCUGGCGGGCGGGCGGCCAGGCCUGUAGUCUCAGCACUUUGGGAGGCUCAGCACUUCGGGAGGCUGUGGCGGGCGGAUCACCUGAGCCUGGGAGUUGGAGACCAGCCUGCGCAACGUAGCAAGACCCUAUCUCUAAAACAGAUUCAUUAAUACUUAGCCAGGCGCGGUGGCUGAGGUCCCAGCUACUCGGCAGGCCCAGGCUGGCCUGAGCCAGACCGCUCUGGACUGUUUUAAUUUUUUCAGCCUUAAUACCUGCCAGAAUUUUUUUUUUACUAUGUAUCUUUGUCCUUACGUAUAUAAAUUUUAUAUACAAUUGAGAUUAUCCUGUAUUUGCUUUUCCCCCCUCACUUUUAUAUGGUGACUUUUCUCAUGUUAGGCUGAAUACUAACAUUUUGGAAACUGUCGGCCUGAAAACGAGCGGAGACACAGUUUCUCUAAGUAGAGAGUUUAUUUGGGCCACACUUGAGCACAAAUUCAAGGCGCCCUGAAUGUGUACUCCGAUUAGCAGUUAACAGUGGAUUUUAAAGGCAAAAAAGGGGGCCAGGGAGUGGACUAAUAGGAACUUGUUUGUGAGGAAUUCUCACUGGUUUACAGAAAUAACAUUGAUUAGUGACUGACUAUAUGUUGUUCAGCUAUUGAGUGUGGGUAUAGUGUCCAUUGUGGCGUCAUUAGGUUAAUUUAUAGCUGUUUGUGGCGCUGUUGCCACCAGUAGCAGUUUAAAGAGGUGAACACAGGUCAAGGGGUAGUAGGGCGCGAUUGUCGCCUCAUUUGAAUGUCUCUCUCGGCCUGAUAAUUAAAAGAACUCGCGUUCCUCAGAUAAAAAUUCUCUUUUCUCAAAACCAUUUAAAUGUGGUAAUUAGAAUGGCCCAGAAGGGGCACAGUGCCUUUUAGCCCUCGCCAUUACUUGCUCUUAGGAGUGCAUUUUUUGUAGCUGUGGGUUUUUGACUAUCUCUGCUGCUUUCUCCAGCCCCUACCCUCGUGACUACAAGGGAAAACGUGCGGUGCUCACGAGAGAGCCUUUAUGGGAUUUUUAAAAAAUGGGGAUUGUGGGAAAAUGGCUCCAGCAGUCACAGUUUUUCAGUUUCUCACAAUCCCAUAAAAACAGAGCAACCAGGUAACAAAACUAAAGCAUGGGCAACAUUUACAGACCACUGGAUGGUGAAGAAUUCCCAUGAACCCCUGGUUCACACUGUAAGGACACACUACUCAGCAUGGGCAACAUUUACAGACUACUGGAUGGUGAAGAAUUCCCAUGAACCCCUGGUUCACACUGUAAGGACAGACUACUCAGCAUGGGCAACAUUUACAGACCACUGGAUGAUGAAGAAUUCCCAUGAACUCCUGGUUCCAACUGUAAGGACACACUACUCAGCUGUAGCCUGAAGCCGCCUCCUUACAUACUGAAAGUGACGUGUGCAUAUUCCACUUGGGGCCUGGGGCAACACCCUCAUCAAACUGAUAUUCCUGCAGCAAAAUACAAGCAGGACGAAAAGGAUCAUGGGUCGUCUCGUGCCAAAUCAGGGGAAGGCGCCCAGUCCCCAGGAGCACAAUCUG
This 1917-nucleotide long non-coding RNA is filed under the name Homo sapiens (human). RNAcentral describes it as "non-protein coding lnc-PQLC1-104:8". Lineage: Eukaryota; Metazoa; Chordata; Mammalia; Primates; Hominidae. The record is from RNAcentral.